GGGGGCUACUUGUAGCUUUCGCCAAAGGAGGAACCUAAGCGAGAUUAGCUAGUUGGUGAGGUAAAGGCUCACCAAGGCGACGAUCUCUAGCUGUUCUGAGAGGAAGAUCAGCCACACUGGAACUGAGACACGGUCCAGACUCCUACGGGAGGCAGCAGUGGGGAAUAUUGCACAAUGGGGGGAACCCUGAUGCAGCCAUGCCGCGUGUGUGAAGAAGGCCUUCGGGUUGUAAAGCACUUUCAGUUGCGAGGAAAGGUGUGUGGUUAAUACCCACAUACUGUGACGUUAACAACAGAAGAAGCACCGGCUAACUCCGUGCCAGCAGCCGCGGUAAUACGGAGGGUGCGAGCGUUAAUCGGAAUUACUGGGCGUAAAGCGCACGCAGGUGGUUAUUUAAGCCAGAAGUGAAAGCCCCGCGCUCAACGUGGGAAGGCCUUUUGGAACUGGGUAACUAGAGUCUUGGAGAGGGGAGUGGAAUUUCUGGUGUAGCGGUGAAAUGCGUAGAUAUCAGAAGGAACAUCAGUGGCGAAGGCGACUCUCUGGCCAAAGACUGACACUCAUGUGCGAAAGUGUGGGUAGCGAACAGGAUUAGAUACCCUGGUAGUCCACACCGUAAACGCUGUCUACUAGCUGUGUGUGAAUAUAAUUCGUGCGUAGCGAAGCUAACGCGCUAAGUAGACCGCCUGGGGAGUACGGCCGCAAGGUUAAAACUCAAAUGAAUUGACGGGGGCCCGCACAAGCGGUGGAGCAUGUGGUUUAAUUCGAUGCAACGCGAAGAACCUUACCUACUCUUGACAUACAGAGAACUUUCCAGAGAUGGAUUGGUGCCUUCGGGAGCUCUGAUACAGGUGCUGCAUGGCUGUCGUCAGCUCGUGUCGUGAGAUGUUGGGUUAAGUCC
This 898-nucleotide ribosomal RNA is filed under the name uncultured bacterium. Its description in RNAcentral is "bacterial SSU rRNA". It matches the Rfam family "Bacterial small subunit ribosomal RNA", at positions 202 to 1087 of the family's 1533-position model. The record is from RNAcentral.